Molecule: non-coding RNA, 649 nt
Organism: Jatropha curcas
Lineage: Eukaryota; Viridiplantae; Streptophyta; Magnoliopsida; Malpighiales; Euphorbiaceae
Source: RefSeq, a predicted model, not a curated record
GCCACACCUUCUCUUCCAUAUCUUAUCGUAUUUCUUUCCUUCUCUUUCUACAAGCUCUGCCUAACUUUUCUGGUUCAGAUCUCCUCUUAAUGGCUUCUUCUCAAGGAUUGUGGCUUUCGCUGUUGAAUGGAUCGUUUUCCGAUCUAUUUUCAGAUGGUGGUUUCAGGGCUUGACUCAAAUAGGGACGUGUAGAUAUCAGCUUGCAACUUCGAACUGUCCAUUGAAUUGAUCUUCUGACUGGUUCGGGUCAUGAAAAAGCCAUUGAAAGUGUCUAUUCCUUUUUCUUUGGUAGCUGUUGCAGGUGGUGUAAAAGGACCUGUCACCUUAAGGAUCCGCUCGGCCAAGAUCAGUGCGUCUGCCUGUAAUUCAUGUGUGGUUUUUGUAGCAGACGUUUUGAUCAGAUGUUAGGAGGCGGAAAAAUAUAUAUCUCCACAUAUAUAUAUGUUUAUAUUCAUGUCUCUGGAUGUAGAAGAUAUAUCAGGACGAGAAGCCCAUAUAUUGCUUGAUUGAUGGAGGGGGCUUUAAUUCUUUGGUUGAUAUCUUUGUCAUCGGACCUUUUCCAUGGCAGGUGCGCUUGCAUGGCAGGUCACCAAGUACUUAAUAAAAAUUACUCUUUUGUGCUUUUGAGAGGAGAUCGCACAGGGAUUUG